GAAGAUUCUAAAUGAAAUGAAUAAGUAAUUAGUUAUUGUGAUAAAAGUGACUCAUAACAUAACAAAUAAAUACAUGAUCUCCAGUUUCUCUCUCAAUUGUUUUACAGUUUUAUACACACAUUUUUGCUAUAAUCUAGUUAGCACCUUGUAACAAUGUUAAAAACUGCUGGUAAUUUAGUGACUAUCUAAGAUAUGUACUGGACCUGAAGACAAAAAUGGACCAAGUCAAAAACAACUAAAUAUUUUAAAGAUUUUAUUACUCUUAAUCAUCAAUUUCUGCAUAAGGAAAUGGUGAAGUGAACUUGUGUAUAUCAGAGAACCUUUCCCUUUCUUUUAUCUACAUGUUUAAGCAGUGGCUAUACAUUUUACAUAUAAGUCUGAAAUAGAUUUUUGUUAAUUAAAAGUUGCACAUAUGCUUGAAUUAAAUAGGCCCAGUUUGAGCAACAGAUCUAAUUGUAAUGAGAACAGUCAUUUUGCAAAGAAAGCGCUAGUUUUGUAAAACAUUACAGUACCUAAUACAGUUUGAAGUCAUAAAACACAGACAUUAUGCUUUAAAAUUGUACUUCUUUACAUUUCUUUGACCACCGGACUUUUGUGUGUGUGAAACCUUUUCUAAACUAGAACCCACUGCAGUUUGUCGCAUGUCGCCAUCACGGCUUGUUAAGGCUGUACGCGUCAGAAUCGCGACGCAGCUGCGGUUUAUCUCGGCACUUGCCACACAGAGCCAUGCCUGCAUAAAUGACAGGAAUUUGGGAAACAUAAGCACCACGUCCGGACCACCUACAUUCUGCCUUUGAAACAGUCCGCGUUUUGCCGCUUUCUGCAUGUCUGCUUCUGAAUAUAAACAACCAGUGACUGCCGCAUCCCACCUGAAAGUUUUUAUAUAAAAUCCUGUAUAAAUCAUCAUGCGGGCCGGAUUGGACACCUCUGUGGGCUGUGUUCCGGCAGACACACCUGGUCUAGACAAUACGCCGUACAUCUUCUACGAUGAGGAUUGUUGUGUCAACACCACUCUGCCAUACCGACAAAGACACGAAAGGCUUUUCCAUCCCGAUGGGCUGCACCCCAGCAGAAUUGGACAGGAUCUGCCAUCGGACAUCAUCUCAAAGAUACUGCGCACUAUUUGACUAGUAAGUAAAACCCUUAAAAAUACCAACCUAAUCGAUAAAAGCACAUGUGUAUUUCCCCAGAUAGUGAGGUCAAACAAUAAGUUGCCUGUAAAAUCUAAAAAAAAAAUCAGAUUAUCAUCAAUCCACAAAAAAUAUCAAACAAAGUUAACAAAAAAAAAAUCAAAUUAGGGCUCCAAAACAUUAGCUCGCUCACACCUAGGGGUUUAAUAGUAAAUUAAAUGAUCACAGGUAAUGGUUUUAAUGUACUAUGACUAACUUAGACCUGGCUUAAACAGAAUGACUACAUUGGUUUAAAUACGUCUACUCCACCUACAGUAGUUUUUAAACUUUAGCCCCGUUUGUCUGAUUGUGGAGGUGGCAUUGCAACGAUCUACAUUUUUUUUUAAUAUUACUCAGAAAACAAUAUACAAGUUUAAGUCAUUUUAAAUAAUUGUGCUUAAGGUUACUCUAUCAUAUAUAAGACAAAAAUGCCUAAUAGGGAUCUCCAAGUCACGUGACCCCUAGCCACUUGUCAGCCAUUUUGAUGGAAUACAUCCGUCAGCUACUCAGUGGCAAUCAAUGGAUCUAUUAUUAGGGGUGAGUAAUAUAUAUUAUUAGUAUAUGAUUAUACUGUAAUUAUUUUAUAAUUAGCCUAAAUAUUGCAAUACUUUGCGCUACAGUAUUAAUAUAAUUGCGUGCGAAAAAAUUUUAACCGAAUAGAAUAAUUUUCCCCCCACCACUAUCUAUUAUUAGCGCAGCGGCCUCAGCUAACUCUUCACGUCAUGUCAUCGCACUUAUCAGCAUCACAAAAAGAUAUAUACAAGAGGAAGAUAAAGGAAUUAGGAAUCAUAGAUCCAUAUGAAGAACCACAAGUUCUUUAUACAGGCAUUAAAUGUGUAGAAAAACUUCCUGACAUUGAGUUCGGUGACAUUUACAGCUACCUUAUUCACUUCCCAUCACGCUACAUCGGAGCUUCAUUAAAAGCAUACAAAAGCUUAGCAGGCUAUCGGUAUCACGAGUCUGGAUGGGUCAGCAAUAGGGUUGCUGCGGUGACAGAAUUCCCACCGGUUAAUCAGCGCAUGACAAACGAAUGAUACCAGUUUCACCGGGUGGGAGGGGCUUAUAAAUGCGCAUGCAGACGUGCGCAUUUUACUUUCACUUUUGAAUUAGAUGCAACUGUUUAAAUGCAGUGCUUGCGUACGCUGCAUUAAAUCGCACAUGAAUCCGUGUGCAACGCGAGUGCAACAGCUGGUUUAAUUAAAUGCUUGAGCCAGUGUGUGCAGGUAAUUCUGACAGUACCCGCCGCCAGUCCCAAGCAGAGCAACCGGCUACUCCUCCAUAAAGCACUGCUUGAAUGAUGGGUUUAUUAUUAUUCUUAAUGAAAAACACAACAACAAAACGAUCUUGCUUAUAUUAAACAUCAUAUUUAAAUAUUAACACAAAAACAAGUAAACACGCGGCUUCUGCCAUCGUCUGGUCAGUCAGCUCGCCUCGCACACUGACAGGAAUAAAUGAAAUCUGACACCGGCUGCUCUGUGAUGUGACACGCGUUCAGCUCCGUUAAAUUCAGACAGAAGACACAUUCAGUGUUUGCUCGCUCUAACGAAACUAAAUGAUUUAAUUACAAGAAAAUAUCAAAACGACGGUGAAAAACGGUGUCGCGAUGAGCAAGUGAUCUAACCGGUGAGAGGCAGUUUAGCAUUUUCUAUUCCGUCAAGAUGGCUGCUCCAAAUGGCAUGGCGUGACGUCACACACGCAACCCUAGUCUAUACUGCUUUUUUGAAAAUUUGCAGCUUUUCUCUGAUUCAUUGAUAGUUGCAGACUUUAACAUGCAUGUAGAUAACACAAAUGAUGCUUUAGGACUUAUGUUGACAGACUUAUUGAACUCCUUUGGGGUCAAGCAAAAUAGUAACAGACAUAAUUGCAUCUUGUAAUUUUGCAUUUAGUCAUAAAUAACUUAUUAACUAGCCUCUUCCUAAAACAAGCUAUGAACAGCAGCUAUGCUUAUUUUUUUUAUUUGCUUUUCUGUUUCUACGUUGGGAUGCUUAACCUGAGGUAACUAGCGAUUACGCCAGCUCCAGUGAGAAUCCUGCAUCCGUCAGAUGUCCUAACACAUAUGGAAAGAUGACAUCUGCCCUUGCAAGGACUUCAGUCGAUGCCAACUUUGGACUACAAAUUGAUCCAUAAUUUUUUUUCUAAAAUGUUGUGUUUUAUGUGUAUUCCACAUUCUGUCCUUUUGUAAAGCUGCUUCGCAACAGUGUAAACUGUGAAAAGCGCUAUACAAAUAAAUUUAAAUUGAAUUCU
Non-coding RNA from Paramisgurnus dabryanus, 3413 nucleotides. NCBI's taxonomy places the organism in Eukaryota, Metazoa, Chordata, Actinopteri, Cypriniformes, Cobitidae. The record is from RefSeq and is a predicted model, not a curated record.